This 333-nucleotide unclassified non-coding RNA is filed under the name soil metagenome. Its description in RNAcentral is "partial contains 5.8S ribosomal RNA, internal transcribed spacer 2, and large subunit ribosomal RNA". The stretch from base 1 to 120 matches the Rfam family "5.8S ribosomal RNA", at positions 35 to 154 of the family's 154-position model. The record is from RNAcentral.
GAUGAAGAACGUAGCGAAAUGCGAUAAGUAGUGUGAAUUGCAGAAUUCAGUGAAUCAUCGAAUCUUUGAACGCACAUUGCGCCCUUUGGUAUUCCUUAGGGCAUGCCUGUUCGAGCGUCAUUUAAACCUUCAAGCUCAGCUUGGUGUUGGGUGACUGUCCGCUUCACCGCGGACUCGCCUCAAAAUUAUUGGCGGCCGGUACAUUGGCUCUCGAGCGCAGCAGAAACGCGUAACUCGAAGUCCUCGUGCUGGCUCCCAGAAGCUAUCUUCACAAUUUUGACCUCGGAUCAGGUAGGGAUACCCGCUGAACUUAAGCAUAUCAAAAGCGGAGGA